Molecule: long non-coding RNA, 10027 nt
Filed under: Lynx pardinus (Iberian lynx)
Lineage: Eukaryota; Metazoa; Chordata; Mammalia; Carnivora; Felidae
Source: RNAcentral
AUUUAAUAGUACGUAAUUAACUAACGCACUUAAGAUUUGAUUUGUAAAAAUUCUUCCAAUGACGAUACCUCUGGGGAAAGUGACCUACAAGAGUCCAGUCUGACCACGGGUUUUGAUUCGAAUGCUCCCGUUGGGGCCCAGGGCCCACUGACACAAAUGAUGGAGGAUGCCCUUUGUGAAUCUCUUUGGGAGGGCUGGGGGGUGGUGACAGAAGAGGAGCCUGCACUCACGGUGGCACCCAGCUUCAUCGAGUCUCUUUCUGGAUUGCAGAACUCGGGAGCAGGUUCAUACCUGGAGGUGAGAAUAUGGACGUAGGGCAAGAGAUGGGGUGCUGGUCAGUGUAUCCCAGAGCCCCCCUGAAUGGUGUCCUUCCUUCCCUAAACAUCGUAGCAAGUCUUCACUUAGUAGAUGCUGAGCUGGCACGUGACCAUGGAGGUGGUCAAAUCCUCUGGGGGCAGAGGGAAACCGGAAGCAGAUACUGGGACCCCCUUUUGGUCUGGAAGGGGACACGUACGUUUAUUUCUAAAGCAGCAGCUGUCCUAUGGAAUUCUCUGAGAAGCCAACCCGACGCAAGGAGGAGUGGAGGAAUUCCACGGGGUGAAAGGCAGGCAGACGGACCCGGGUUUGGAUCUCAGGCUUAGUCCUGAUCUGUCGUGCAGCUGUGGGAAAUCAAAUCGGUUAAUCCCGAGGCCGUCUUCUCCAAAUUUGCAAAACGCAGCCUCUAAUGUCCCCUUAUUGGGUCUCUGCGACGAUGCAAUAUUGCAUGUAAGUACAGGGCGUGGGGUCUGGCACUUUGAGGUGCUCAAUGCACAGGGAUGUCCCUAAGGCUUGGUGGGUCCUGGGAAAAGCCCCUCAAUCAACACUACCUUCCCCACGGCCCUGUGUCAAUGAGUGAAACUCCUGCCACCACUCAGUCCUAACAUUAUGCUGUUUGAAGGCUCCCGUUUAAACACAAACCGUACUCCGAGGGUUGGGUGGAGGGCCUUGGGGAAGGAACUGCGUUACCCAGCUGAAAAUACCUUUGAGCAGUUUAUCAGGAAAACCCUUCAGCUACUUAGCAGGGCCCGGCAAUUGGGCAAAGGGCCCACAAGUUGGGAAGAACGGUGUGAGAAGGGCCUUAGGGAAUGAGAGGAAAGAGUCCUUACCCCGAAGGGGUGAUGACUGGCCAGUGGCCUAGCUGCUGUGGGGCGAGGAAGGGCGUUGGAGUUCACCGCCAAGAAUAUGGCAGCCGUGAGGCGGGUGUUGCUUAAAAAAGGAGUUACCGAGUGUCCAAGAGGCUGUGAGUCUCAGGCACAUGUAUUUUCAAACACAGUUGUCGUCAGGUAAUAUGAUCACUGUAUUUUUAUACAAACUCUGAUACUUUUCCAAGGGAAGGACCUUUCAGUUUAGAACAAUGGGUCCUAAUGUCGAUCUGAAAAAAAGCACAAGAAGUAUACUACAGGUGUCAAAGAAUUCUGGAAAGUCAGAAGAAAGUUUAGUAUUCAACUGGGACAGGUGACAGUGGAGGGCACUUACUUUUAAUCUCGUGUGCAUCCAUGGGGAAAGGGCUCUUUCCUAACCUCCCCACGGUGCCUUGGGACUCCCAGAGAGUCACGUGGCAGAUGUCAUUGUCACAGAGCAUCGUGCUGGUUUUAUGUCAUCUUGAGCAUUCGGCGAGCCCUUUCUGUAUGCAAGGCACUGAGCUGGGAGCUAGGAGGGACACAGAACCGAGGAAAUGUAUCCCCGCCCCCCCAAGGAGAAACCCACUGCUCAGUCAGUGACCCCAUUUUGUUGGAAACUCCCUUGUCUUGUCUCUCCACUCCCCAGCUAGGGACGAGCAGCCUUAUUUUAGCCUCGUGACUUGCUUCCCCUGAGCAGAGUUGAUUUGGAACCAGACCCGAGGUGGGCCGAUCAAAUUCUCUAUUCCAGAAACUGGGGUGGAUUCGGAGAUACCAGUUUCUACUAGUCGCUUAAAUUUAAGACACAUAAAUUCGGGAAAUGAAGGAAUGGUACACUUAGCUGUGCACGUACAGAGAAGCAAAGGGCCUCAGUGGACGGAGAAAGAAAGGAAUAGGACAGGUUUGCAGAGCGAGGCAGGAAGGGGAGUCUGGUGGGGCGGGGGGUGUGUUUUGGGCACGGGGGAGGCAUGCACAGUACUCCUGACAGCCUCCAGCCCCUUCCCAGCAGGCUCUCCCCUGCUCUGCUGUCCUCCCUGGCUGUCAGUAUGGACCUCAUGUAACGACCACCCCGUCAACCGUGACUUUAACCAGGGUUUCUCAGAGCUUGGCCCUGUGGACACUUGGGGUGGGGGGCCGGGAACCGACGAUCGGGAGGGCUGUUCUGUGCCCCUCAGGAUGGGUAGCAGGAUCCCUGGCCUCGGCCCACUAAUACCCGUGGGCCCCUCUGUAGCUGUGACAACCGAAGUGGCUUCUCCACACAUCUCCACAGGUGGAGGCGGGAUGGUUUCCUCAUUGAGAACCACGGACUUCAAUAACUUAAAUAAGGAGAUGUUUAUUCUUCUCUGGCGACAGGGACUCUGUCCAGAGAUAGUGCCUCAAAGAAGCCCUCAGGGGCCUAGAUUCCCUCUGCUUUCGGGUUCCACGGGUCGCAGCUAUUGGCUUUUAUCGCCGGGCUGGCAAGAUGCCUCCUCUACCUUCUCUGUCACAUCCCUGCUCAGGAAGGAAGAGGGGGGAGGGGGGAGGGGUCCCAUGGCCACCUCGUGUCAAGGGAAGUGUGGAGAGAGAAGUAUUUUUAACAGGCCACGCUGGCACCUCAGUGAAAAUGGGGGUCCUGUCGCUAAGUGUUACGGGUCGAAUUGUGUCUCCCCACCCCCAAAUUCACGUAUUGAGUCCGAACCCCUGGUGCCCCAGAAUGAGACCUGAUUUGAAAACAGAGCCUUUGCAGAUGUAAGUAGUUAAAAGGGGGUCAUUAGCAUGGAUCCUUCAUCCAGUACAGCUGGUGCCCUUAUAAAAAGAGGAAAUUCGGGGGCACCCGGGUGGCUCAGUCGGAUGAGCGUCCGACUUUGACUCGGGUCACGAUCUCGCGGUUCGUGAGCUCGAGCCCCGCGACGGGCUCUGCGCUGUCAGCCCGUCAGCGCAGAGCCCGCUUCGGAUCCUCUGUCCCCUCCUCGCUGCCCCUCCCCUGCUGGUGCUCUCUCCCCAAAUAAAUAAAUAUGAAAAAUAAUUCUUUCAAAGGAGGGAAUGUGGACACAGACGUGUGCACAAGGGGAACACAUAUGAAGGUGGAGGCAGAGACCCGGGUGACAGGGCUCUGAGCCCAGGUGCUCCGGAGGUGCCAGCAGACCCCCCAGAGCCGGGAGGGGGGCCCAGAACAGCCGCUCCCUCACGCCAAGGAAGGAACCGACCCAGCCAGCACCUUGACCUUGGACUCAGGCCUCCAGAAGUAGGAGACCCCUACGCACUUUGCUACAGCAGCCCCAGGAAUCGAAACCAACACGCGUAGGAAGAAAAGGACAAGGACUAUGGGGCAGAUAACUGGCAAAGGCAACAAGAAGUUUCAUGGCCCAAAGCAGCGCUCUUAUAAUCGUUUCCUUUUCACGUUAAGCCCGAUGGAGUGGGUUUCCAGUGUCUGCGAUGCGGAGAUGCCCGAUGGGGACAGACCCUCGGCGAACCUGUGGUCUAAGGAAGCGCACGUGAUCCGUAUACUCAGGGCUAAAGGGCCACCAGGCAUGUUGGGGGUGGGGGGCGGGGAAGGGGCGGUGCGAGCGUUGUUCCAGGGCGUGAGAGACCGUUUCUGGCUGCACGGUCGGGGAAGGUCAGUCAGGGGAGCCAGGCCUUGGAGACGCAGGCCUUGGCCUCCCGGAGCUGGGGGAGCACAUUCCACAGGACACAAUGGGCCGGGGCGGCACACAAAGGGCCUGUGUGCAAAACUGAAGGCUGUUUCAUUUGGCCACGGAGUGGGAUGGCCCCCAGCAGAACAAUGCGUUGCAAGGGAAUAUGGGUUUCAACUCCCCGGCUGAAUUCUUGCCUCCAAGACCCAACGUGUGAGAGAGAAAGAGCUGGAAGUAUCCUUCUAUUUCGGCGAUUUCAUUUUUGAGCUGGUCCUUUGCCAAACUUUUGGCAAGAUGACUGGAUACUUUUUCUCUAUUUGUUUUCAACCCCUCUGACCUUUCUUUACAUCAAAAUGUCCAUGGGGCCUUGUGAAGCAGCAGCCCAGCCCCAAAGACUGACUCCAGGAAUAGUGCCGGAAAAAACCUUGGAGGGUUCUUUGCCCUUCUCCAGAAUAUCCUAUGGAGGGGACUGAGAAGUUUAACAGUGGAUUUUCAAAAGAAACAGGAUGAAAAGCCAGGAUGGCAUGACAGGUAUUCGGGUGAAGAUCCUUCACUCCUGCGUGGGACAUGUGCAUGUGCUCGACUCCCCCAACCCUUCACAGCUGGGUCUCCCUUCGAGACUGUUCAGGGCUUUGCGUUGGACCAGCCACUGAAACGAGAGCUCAGCUCCUUUGCCCCCGUUCUAUGGUCACAUAAAAAACAUUAGAAAACCUUGGAUGACACCAUAUCCUGGUUUCCUGGAGGACGUGCUCCUUCAGCAACUGUUACCAUAUGCACAAAACGAGACUCCAGGAGGACCCAGAACUGUGUUGUAGGGCGCGCCUGGGGAUGCACGUUGUGGGAGUUUUGUCGUGCCUGACAGAUGAGCAGGGAUGUCCUCGGCUUCCCGAAUUCUAUGGAUCAACCCCGAGAGGUUGAUACUCAUUCCGUGUGCUAAUUUCCUAUCGCUGCUUAGAACAAGGUGUCGCCAACUUAACCGCUUGACCAACAAGUCAACACAAAUUUGUUCUCUUAUCGGUCCGGAGGUCAGAACUCUAACACGGGUCCUGCAGUCAAGGUGUAGACAGGGCUGCAUUGCUUUUGGAAAUUCUGGGGAGAUCUUAUUUCCUUUCGUCCCCAGGUCCCAGAGACGCCCCAUUCCCUGAUUCGAGGGCUUCUCCUCCAUCUUCAAAACCAUUGUUCCAACUUCUGCUUCUCACCUUUUUGACUUUGACCUUCUUUCUCUCUCAUAAAGACCCUUGUGAUUAGAUUAGACCCACUGGUCUGACUGAUCCUGAUUCCCAGGAGAAUCAUCCCAUCUCAAGAUCCUUAACCUAAUCAUGCGGGCACAUUCCCUUUUGCUCUGUGAGGUGACGUAGUCAUAGGUUCAGGAGAUUAGGCCAUGGGCAUCUUUGGGGAUGGCGGUGUUCUGUAACCACAUACUGAGAAAGUUGUUGUUUUUUAACAAAUAAACUUUAGAAAUGUUGGGUUAUAUAAGUUAAAUAGGUUCAUUGCAGAACAUAUAUAUAUAUAUGUUCUGCAAAUAUAUAUAUAUAUGUUCUCCAAUAAAUAUAUAUAUAUAUAUAUUUAGAGAGAGAGCACAAGUGGGGGGAGGGACAGAGAGAGGGAGAGAGAGAAUAUCAAGCAGGCUCCACACUCAACACAGCACGCAACGUGGGGCUGGAACUCACACACUGCGAGAUCACAACCUGAGGCAAAAUCAAGAGUCAGACACUCAACCUACUGAGCUACCAGAACUUUCCUGCUUCUCAGUAUGCUAAUAUAUAUUAAUGGAACGGGAGAGAAAAAUUUACUAUGUAUAUUUCCCAAUCUUGUUGGACCCAAGAUCCCUCCCGGGGAAGCCAGUCCCCUUCCUGCCGUGUAACACUGAUCAAUGUUUCCGAAUACAGUGGGAACACCGUCUCAGGAGCACACGUUUCAGCCCAACAGGGAAGAGGGCCCGCACACUUGUAGCUUCACGUCUGACGGACGUGCUGGGGUGGCUUCAACAGAUUCCAGAUGGAGCUGGGCUCUUAGGUGUAGCGCCUUCUCCGCGGGCCACCGCAUGAUCCUGGGGGAAUGAGUGAACACUGGGGAAGGGCGCUUCCGCAUUUUGGGUCUGCAACUUCAUGUCAGAACUCUCUGGCUGGGAUUUACAGGACCUCGGCUCCAGCCGGAGGGUCCGGCCCAGUGAACAGCCAGGUCAGGAGGCAGGCCUCUCUCUCUCGCACCGGCCCCCCUCCCCAGUGCCACCCGGAACUCUGGGCUAGAAUCACAAACAGCUGCUUCCCAAAAACGUCCAAGAAAUUUCCCUCAACUCUGUAUAUUUCAGGAAGGUAGCACAGAGCCGGCUCUAGGCCAGUGGGCCAGGCAGCUCACCGAGUCACCCCCGGGAUGCCGGGCCUUGGGGUGGGGCAGCGGGGCAGGGUGGGCAGUGCUGAUGUUCACGGUGGGGCUAAUUGAUGGGGUUUACCCAGGGUGAUGGUAGUGCUGGGAGGCCAGUCCCCCACUUCCGGCAGUCAGGACGCGCCUUGACUCACUCCAUUAAACCUGCCUCUGGCCGGAGCCCGUCCCUGCCCUGCUACUGGGAGGUUUUCGUGCCGAGAAGCACAUUUCCCGAAACUGCGGCUGUCACCCUUUUCCCCGCCCAUCCCCUUCCAUGUUCUCUGCAAACCGAACCCCAGGCUGAGGAGGGCUCUUAGGCUGGGGCUGCUUCACUGUCAAGUACUUAUCAGCCUAUUUAUAGCUCCAGUUAAGGAUUCAGGUUCGGGAGUAUUCCAUUAAAAGACCACAUUAACGAGUCCUCAGAGAAAAUCUCUCACAAAGCUUUUGAGCUCAUAACCACUUGGCCGUGUUAUGAGCUUCUAGUGUGUUAACAUUCAUAAAAUAAAAUUGUUCCGGGUGCCGGCACUCCGGCAUUCCCAGGCCUCUACCCACCAGAAGCUUCUCCCUAGGUGCCGGCCCCGGGAUCGGCACGGAGGCUGCUUGGGCGCAGGCCUCCGUCACUGUCACUUGGGGCCCUUUCUGCCUAGCUGGGCUCCGGGUGCUGUCUGUGCUCAUGGGGUGAGCGUCCCUGAGAACCGUGUGCUGGCCUGCAGAAUCUGGCACCGUCCAGACCCGCAGGGAGGCUCUGGAAGGGGCUGCUGCAGGGGUGGGAGGCAGGAGGGAGGAGGGGGGAUAGCCCUGGCAAGAGGGAGGGGUGACAGGAGGGAGGAGAGGAGAGGGAGUCCUGGGAGGAGGGAGGGGUGAUAGCAGGGAGGAAAGAGGGGAGGCAGGGGGGAGGAGGGAGGGGAGUCCUUGGGGGAGGGAGGAGGGAUGGAAGGCAGGAGGGAGGAGGAAAGGGAGACAGGACAAAGAGGGAGGUCCUGGGAGGAGGGAGGGAAGAAAGGAGGGAAGGAGGGAGGGAAGGACGGAGGGAAGGACGGAGGGAGGGGACGAGGGAGGGGACAUAGGAGGGAGGAGGAAGGGGAGGCAGGAGAGAGGGGGAAGCCCUGGGAGGAGGGAGAGGACGAAGGAGGGGAGGCAGGAGGGAGUGGAGGAGGGAGGAGGGAGGGGAGAAGGGAGGGAAGAGGGAAGGUGUGGGGCCAGGAGGAGAGAGACUCUUUGUGCUGGAGUUCAAAUCGGAAGAAACAAGUUUUGGAAAAGCUUCCUGCUGUAUGACCUUAUCUGGAAAGUCAGCAUUUCGGGGUCUUUCUGAAGUUGGAGGGCACCAUUCGCUUGUUCUUGUUCUUGGUUCCUCAGCGUCCCCGGAGAAAAAGACUUCGGAGCGACAAACACUGUUAGGGUUUUGCGCUUUCUUUCUGCCCUUUCACCUCAAGCUUUCCAUCUCCAGCCUCAUGACAUCAGCCCUUAUUUUUAGGGAUGUUUUGAUGUGAUAUGUUUAACACGCUGCCGCGACCCAAGCAUUCGAACGGGUGGCCAGCGGGCACUUGAGCCGGUUCACGGUUGGCUGUCCUUCAUACUGGGGCCCAUCGGGGCUGGGACAUGGGAUCCUGGGCUGGACCCCAGGACUCCCGGAGGGUGGGGAGGGACAGGGGGGUGUGAGGCAGACUCGGGGGGUCCCACCAGCCUUGGAACCAGUCCGCUUUGUUCACCCAGGCGGCUGAGACCGUGUGACCGGCCACGGUCCCUGCAUUAUUGCUGGAGAUGCCCAGCGUGUUGCUGGCCACAUUGGCAUUCGGGGAGAAGUCCCAGAGGAGGUACGAAAAGCGCCUUGAGGCUUCUUGCACUUGAUUCUUAAGGUCUGAGUCUGUACUUUUGAGGCAGAAAUGGGCUGGCGGGAUGUUGACUGUGGCGAUACUGCGUAGCGCCUCAGAAACGGACUUAGAAAUGGACCAAGGAGGAUGAACUUGGCCGCACGUGACCCCCAUUAAUGGUCAAGGGCAGGGAAGAGAAGGGAAUGUUUCUGCCCAGAAAGAACCUCCAGUGAAGCAGCAACACACACACACACACACACACACACACACACACCCAGACACGUCUUGUCUGUGGUAACCACGGGGAGGAUCACGCCAUCUUCCUUUAAGAAGCUGCUAGCUCUUUCAUAACUGGACUCGGCCCUCCAGCCGAGGCCACGCUCUUCCUGAGCUGCCUUGAGUGAGGGAAGUCCAAGUGAUGAGGGCAUCUCUACCUGGUCCUCGCCCUCUAACGGGAACCACCUCUCUGGAGCUGGCGAAGACAGGGCCAGAUCUGGCCCGUGGUGUGGGCUCUCCUUGUUUAAUCCUGCUUCCUUCCCUUUCGCCUUUUACACACCUUUUCUGCAACAACUCUCUUGCCCUUUCUCCGUACCCGUGACUGCUUCCCAGAGGACCUGCCUGGUACGGGCCCGCAGAUAGGAAUGCGUUUGGAAAUCGCAGAGGACCGAAGUUACUUCCCAGGCCCAAACGUAUUGAUAAGGCGUCUGGAUCCUUUGUGGGACUCCAGGCCUAGCCUUGGGGUGGCAGGUGGGCCACGGGACAAAAAGCUGGGGAGGGGGUAAGGCGGGAGAGAACACCGUGCAGAGGCGCAGCUGAUUUCCCGGAGGAGGAGACCAGGAAAAGGUUCAGUGCGGCCCAAACGAACUGCUGAAUGUGAGCUGAAAAGUCAACCGCGGCGGAGCGCCUUCCUUCCCAUUGUCACAUAGACACUGCUCCAGUCGGGGUCCGGACACGCAGGGGCCGUCCUAUUUCCCAAUCUGACUUUGGGGAAGUAAGUCAACAUUUGCAGCCGCUGAGUUUGCUUGGAGCUCUGCCCGGGAGGACGAGCCCAGAGGGGAGAGCGGGCCCUCCCGAGGCGGGUCCCUGGGGGCUGGGCUGGUGCGGGUCCAGGACACCGCACGGGGUUUAAGGCCAAGGUGCAGACUUUAUUUGCGGUGACCCGAUACUUCCUCCUAUGGCUGACACGUGGGUAACUACUAAAGCAAGGGGAAGAAUUUCUUCUAUAUGGCAAACCAGUGUAUUUCAGUUCACACCCGAGAGCCUCGUUGACAGGUACUACCCUGUAUGGCUUAUAUCAGAAUGAGUUAUUAUGAAUAAAAUAGCUUUAAAGAUGCGACAGGACAGUCGGUACUUAAAGGACAUAUGACGGAUCUUUUUGGGAAGUAAAUUUCUGAAGGAGGCACCAAAACCCUGCUGUUCAAUGAACAACUGCUUUAUGGUCUGAACGGGAGCUUUGAUGCAGCAUAUUUUUUUAAAAAACCAGGAUGAUACACGUGUACUUGUAAAUUCUCAAAUGCCCCGGAUACUGCGUGCGCCCACCGUGGAUACUUUCCCAGGAGUGUAUUUGGGAGCGGCCCCAACUUCUCUGCAGCCACCAGCCUUUCAAGCCAUGAACGGGAACUCGCAGCCUUUAUUUUAACCCUGAGCAGGGACGAGGGUAAAGGAACAAGGCAUUUGAGGCUGGCCUGGCCCCGGCUGCAGUGUCCCUGUCUCUAGGUAGGCACAAGGAAGUGGCCCCUGCUCCCCAAGGGACUGUGGUUCCAGUUUUUCCCACCAGGCUCUUCCCUGUCCUCAUUCCUGGCCCCACACACAGAACCCGGGCCGAUCUGUCCAUCCAUCGGCCACGGUGGCCCAGAGCGGCUCAGGUCAUAACUUAACCGAUAUUUGUCCUUCCAGGUCCGGACAAAGGGGUGGCAGACAGACUUCACUUCCGCGUCACGUCCUUUCGAUUGCCGAUCUGCCUGGGCCACUGCGUGGAGGGAUUUUAAGGACAUUUCCAGGCUUAUAGGAAUCAGCUACCCCCAGCUGAUUGACCGUGGCAGCUGUAGGUGCUGGCGAGGAGCCCGAGAACACGUGUGUCAUU